This 372-nucleotide ribosomal RNA is filed under the name uncultured bacterium. Its description in RNAcentral is "bacterial SSU rRNA". It matches the Rfam family "Bacterial small subunit ribosomal RNA", at positions 30 to 412 of the family's 1533-position model. The record is from RNAcentral.
AUUGAACGCUGGCGGCAGGCCUAACACAUGCAAGUCGAGCGGGGUUUUCGGACCUAGCGGCGGACGGGUGAGUAAUGCGUAGGAAGCUACCCGACAGAGGGGAUACCAGUUGGAAACGACUGUUAAUACCGCAUAAUGUCUACGGACCAAAGUGUGGGACCUUCGGCCACAUGCUGUCGGAUGCGCCUACGUGGGAUUAGCUAGUUGGUGAGGUAAUGGCUCACCAAGGCGACGAUCCCUAGCUGGUUUGAGAGGAUGAUCAGCCACACUGGAACUGAGACACGGUCCAGACUCCUACGGGAGGCAGCAGUGGGGGAAUAUUGGGACCAAUGGGCGGCAAGCCUGAUCCAGCCAUGCCGCGUGUGUGAAGAA